This 454-nucleotide ribosomal RNA is filed under the name uncultured bacterium. RNAcentral's name for it is "partial 16S ribosomal RNA". It matches the Rfam family "Bacterial small subunit ribosomal RNA", at positions 355 to 802 of the family's 1533-position model. The record is from RNAcentral.
UAGGGAAUCUUCCACAAUGGACGCAAGUCUGAUGGAGCAACGCCGCGUGAGUGAAGAAGGUUUUCGGACCGUAAAGCUCUGUUGUUGGUGAAGAAGGAUAGAGGUAGUAACUGGCCUUUAUUUGACGGUAAUCAACCAGAAAGUCACGGCUAACCACGUGCCAGCAGCCGCGGUAAUACGUAGGUGGCAAGCGUUGUCCGGAUUUAUUGGGCGUAAAGCGAGCGCAGGCGGAAGAAUAAGUCUGAUGUGAAAGCCCUCGGCUUAACCGAGGAAUUGCAUCGGAAACUGUUUUCUUGAGUGCAGAAGAGGAGAGUAGAACUCCAUGUGUAGCGGUGGAAUGCGUAGAUAUAUGGAAGAAUACCAGUGGCGAAGGCGGCUCUCUGGUCUGCAACUGACGCUGAGGCUCGAAAGCAUGGGUAGCGAACAGGAUUAGAUACCCUGGUAGUCCAUGCCG